UGUAAUGGCCACAAUAAAAUACACAAUGCUUUGGGGAGCCCUUUUAAAAAGGCAGUUACAAACAAAUGUAGGUUUAUUCACUGAAAGCAUGAAACUGAAAAUGAGGGGAAAAUACAGAUCCCUGUAUGAUGAUGUAGAGAUGUAAAUCCAUUCUUUAUCAUUGAACAAAAGCAGUAGCUAACAACAGUAAAAUAGUAUCAAUACUAAACAGAACUGCGCACUGGUCUUGAUGCAUCCAUUUAGACCCAGCAAUUUAAAGCAAAAAGCUCUGGUAAUUUAACAGAUGGCAUGCAACUACAUAGAGCUGGUUAAUGUUACCAAACAUAUUUAGGGGGAUAACCAUGUCAAAGAAUUUGUGUUCCUUUAAACGGCGAAUAAGGCGCUCAACAUGCACUCUCAGAUAUGCAAUAGUCUGGGUCUCCCUGACCUCGUGUGCAGGCAUCUGAAAUCUCCCAGAAAGAAAUGCAGGCCUGUACACUUUACAGGGCACACAGUCAUCCUUAAGAAAGCCCAGGGGCGAAAAUUUCAUCAAAAUGUUGGGGGGACAAUAAACAUAACGAUUCUCAAGAGCAAUUUUUGAAGGGGACACCAAGGGAUUUUUUUGUUGUUGCCACGUUUGCAUUUGUAUUAUUUUAUUUCUUAAACAAUUAUUUUAAAAAUAUAUCAUUAUAUUAUUUACACUACACAUAUUUUAAUGAUAUUUUAGGGGGGGACAACCUAAGUGAUGUAAGUAUUCCUGACUCUUCAAAGAUCUGCUUGUCACUUACUGAGCCAGCAAAGAGGGGAGAAACAAAGGUUAUAGCACCAUGGGGGGCCGUUGUUGGUCGCCGGAGGGGUAAGUUUGAAAACUAAUAGCCGAAUUGAAUUUAGCUGAGGAUGAACAAUGAGGGACGCAACAGUGCCCAGCUGAAGUCCACUCAAAAUGCUGAAAUUUAAACGUCUUUUUCAUUUCGUUCACUUAUUUUUGUAAUCGAUUUAAACAAGUGAAUAACUGUGUGCAAAAAAAAAAAAAGAUUGAUAUCGCCUGACAGGCUAUAUUUACACUGUCUAUCAUAAAAUUUAAUAUGCCGCUACAGCAAGUGACGUUUCACCGGAAGUUUUUGAGCUGGCUUAUAUUAUUCCGGAAGUUGUCAUUAACGUUCCAUGCAUAUAGCCCAUUGCAAGCCUGUGCAAUUUUGUAAAAUACAAAGAUGUAUCGCCCUGCCACAUGUAUAUUUAUUUAUAAGCUGGAAGGGAGCCAUAAUCAUUCUGAGGAAGAAAGGGAGGACGUCACUAGGCGGGGACCUUCCUGGGUUUUCUGAACCCCACCAGAAGUGGGUGUUUAACUGGAUGCUGCAACACGCUGUUUUGUAUUGGUAUAAGUGUCAAGUAAAGCAGCUAAGGUGUGGAAUCAAAGAAACCAAGAUCUGGUCAUUGAUCACUGUACGAGAAGAUGCAAUUAAAGCUGUCUUCCCCAGGUCGUUCUCCAGCACAUUGCUUGGUUUGUUGCAGACUCUGAUGAUGAUGAUUUUAGACUGCGGUCAAGUGGGCCGCGCGUUGAAAAUACACGGUCAAGCCAGCCGCACAUUUUUUUAGUAUGCGCGUCUAAUCGUGUACUUACGGUAUGGGUGCUGAAAGAGGUCAAACUUGAUUUUUAGACUCUAUUUUCUGCUAUUUUCCAUCUUAUUAGGACACAAAUAAUAUUAUUUUUUUUUUUACUAUUUUAAUGUUUGUAUGCCUAAAUAUGAUUAACAUUAAUUAUUACAUAAUUUAUUCAUGUUCAUAUUCAUUUUAAU
Molecule: long non-coding RNA, 1775 nt
Organism: Xyrauchen texanus (razorback sucker)
Lineage: Eukaryota; Metazoa; Chordata; Actinopteri; Cypriniformes; Catostomidae
Exons: 3
Source: RefSeq, a predicted model, not a curated record